RNAcentral lists this unclassified non-coding RNA (294 nucleotides) under Hevea brasiliensis (rubber tree). The record is from RNAcentral. Lineage: Eukaryota; Viridiplantae; Streptophyta; Magnoliopsida; Malpighiales; Euphorbiaceae.
GAAAAUCCAUCUCUGAUGCUGCCUACAUACAUCGAUGGAAACGAGGAAAAAAAUAAGAAACAGUGCACAAUUACAGAACUUGCUACAACUCUUGAGCCUACAUCUCUGAUUUUAUUACUUUCAUUACCAAAUUACCAAUUGAAGAUGGUUCCCUUCUCACAGCCAAGCUUUCGGGUGCUUCCACACUUAUCUUGCAUGUUGGACAUGAGUUUGGGUUCUCAAGUCACAACUUAUUGAGAACAAUUUUUGUUGAUCUAAUCCUGUUGAAUAAUACCACACCAUACCACCAUUUUU